This 302-nucleotide long non-coding RNA is filed under the name Nicotiana benthamiana. RNAcentral describes it as "long non-coding RNA (NBEN_LNC029724)". The record is from RNAcentral. Lineage: Eukaryota; Viridiplantae; Streptophyta; Magnoliopsida; Solanales; Solanaceae.
CUUCCAGGUUUAACAGUUAAGUUCAAUACAGAUAAAAUACGCCAAAUGUGACAGAUAAGAGUAAUAUGACAUUUCUCUAUCGCUAUGCCGAUAUGAAUACCGCAUGUGAUGCAACACAACGAAAACCUCACGUGCUCACACUCUCAGAGCACUCAAUUCGACUGUCUCAAUUUUCGCUCGUCACACUCAGUCACUCAACAUUGUACGGUGCUUGUUGCUGCGUGCAGCCCAAUCUACAUAUAGUCAUAAGGACUGAUGCGAUGCGUAAUGCGAUCCACAUAUAGCUAUAAGACUUGUUGUGG